This 1149-nucleotide ribosomal RNA is filed under the name Plagiochasma appendiculatum. RNAcentral describes it as "eukaryotic LSU rRNA". It matches the Rfam family "Eukaryotic large subunit ribosomal RNA", at positions 35 to 1157 of the family's 3401-position model. The record is from RNAcentral. Lineage: Eukaryota; Viridiplantae; Streptophyta; Marchantiopsida; Marchantiales; Aytoniaceae.
UAAGCAUAUCAUAGCGAGAAAGAACUAACAAGGAUUCCCCUAGUAGCGGCGAGCGAACCGGGAGAAGCCCAGCUUGAAAAUCGCGUGGUUUCGGCGACGCGAGUUGUAGUCUGGAGAAGUGUCCUCUGCGGCGGACCCGGCUUAAGUCCCCUGGAAAGGGGCGUCAGAGAGGGUGAGAACCCCGUCGGGCCGGGACCCUGCCGCUCCACGAGGCGCUGUCGACGAGUCGGGCUGUUUGGGAAUGCAGCCCUAAGCGGGAGGUAAAUUCCUUCCAAGGCUAAAUACAGGCGGGAGACCGAUAGCGAACAAGUACCGCGAGGGAAAGAUGAAAAGGACUUUGAAAAGAGAGUUAAAAAGUGCUUGAAAUUGCUGGGAGGGAAGCGAAUGGAGGCCUCGUGUGCGCCCCGGUCGGAUGCGGAACGGCGCGAGCUGGUCCGCCGCUCGACGCGGGGCGCUGGUCGGCGUGGGCUCCUCCGGCGGGACAAAAGUCAGCCUUUUGUGGCUGGCCGAUGCCGUCGAAGGGGCCGAGGAAACGAAGUGCGCGCCCGUCUCUCGGGCGGGCUCCCCCUUCGCGGGGGGAGCACCUGCGCACUCGGGACGCCGGCGUAGUGGGCUUUUCAUCCGACCCGUCUUGAAACACGGACCAAGGAGUCUAACAUGCAUGCGAGCCGGUGGGCGGCAAACCCACACUAGAGAGGCGAAAAUAACUUGACAGGUGUGAUCCUCCUCCGCGGGGUGCAACAUCGACCGACCAUGAUCUUCUGUGAAAGGUUCGAGUAAGAGCAUGCCUGUUGGGACCCGAAAGAUGGUGAACUAUGCCUGAGCAGGGCGAAGUCAGAGGAAACUCUGGUGGAGGCUCGUAGCGAUACUGACGUGCAAAUCGUUCGUCAGACUCGGGUAUAGGGGCGAAAGACUAAUCGAACCAUCUAGUAGCUGGUUCCCUCCGAAGUUUCCCUCAGGAUAGCUGGAGCACGAGGAGUUUCAUCAGGUAAAGCGAAUGAUUAGAGGCAUCGGGGGUGAAACACCCUCGACCUAUUCUCAAACUUUAAAUAGGUGAGAUCCGAUUUUUUUUGGGGUUGCUUGAUUGAACCCCCGGCGGAGAAUCCGAACGCUCCAAGUGGGCCAUUUUUGGUAAGCAGAACUGGCGAU